This 416-nucleotide small RNA is filed under the name Arabidopsis thaliana (thale cress). RNAcentral describes it as "ATSL259430". The record is from RNAcentral. Lineage: Eukaryota; Viridiplantae; Streptophyta; Magnoliopsida; Brassicales; Brassicaceae.
CUUAAUUUAUAGCCAAGCAAAACCUAUGAAGCCAAUAUAUGCUUCCGAUGUGGGACUUUUUGGUGUACCAAACAAUAUAAUGUACACGUCGUCACUUGAGUUCCUGAUAUUUCUGUUUUGUCCAUAUUGAAAACAGGUUUCUAACCUAAGGCAUAACAGAUUGAGACUAAUUGAAUGGUAGGGGCUGCGCGAACGCAAACCCCUUCUGCCACAAAUAAUGACGUAGGAUCCUCCUCAAGGGAAGACCUUAGGCAUAGCACCCCAACGGUAUGUGCAAUGCGGUCACUAGCCUAGGCCACUCGUCUUGUUGAUCGCGAGUAGACCCCGUCCAGGUAAGUAAUUUGCUCGAAACGUCUGCUUCUCUAUAUAUACUCUGCGUCCCCUUGUCAUUAUUUUGGAUCUAAGCGAUGUGGGAC